Cucurbita moschata (crookneck pumpkin) is the source of this 920-nucleotide long non-coding RNA. RefSeq lists it as uncharacterized. The record is from RefSeq and is a predicted model, not a curated record. Lineage: Eukaryota; Viridiplantae; Streptophyta; Magnoliopsida; Cucurbitales; Cucurbitaceae. The transcript has 2 exons.
GGAAGGACCCUCCAUAAAUAGGCGUAUGCCGCUUGGAGCGGCGAGCACACGGUAUUCUUUAGUAAAAGGCGAAAGAAUAGUUCGCUCUGUGCUCACCGCGCGGCUCCGUGAUUUUACCCUCCACUGGCUGGUUCCUUUUAUACCUCCUGGGAAUGCUCGAACACACAGAGAUUACCGAUGUGGGACAAUACUGCUCCAACACCCGUGAGUUUUAUUCCUUACAGAACGCCCCCGUAAUUUUGUCCCUUCUCGGUGUGCUCAAAUUCUCCCCCAGGCCACCCGCGAGUCCGACUCGUGGACGCCUCCGAUUCUCUGCUCUCAGCAUCCGCCGUAGGCUUCAUGAAGGGAGAGAAGAGAGAAAGGAAUUGAAACACUAAGAAAAAUAAUUUUAAGAAUACAUGUAUGUAAUCUACAAAAAUAAUACAGAAUUUGUCACGAAUUAAUUAAGGAAAUGGACUAAAUUGUAGUGGAAUCUUUAGAUUUUUAAUAUGGUUCUAUAAUUUGAAUCUAGUUUCCUUUUUUGGUUCAACGUGUUAGAACGGGAAUCCGGAACUCAUAUCUCUUCGUGCGUGAUGCAUUUUCAUCUACAACAUAUUAUACAAUUAAUUUGCGAUACACUAGCUAGUGCGUGAUGCAUUUUCAUGGCUGUGAACACGGCGCUUGCUUCAGUCUCGGAGGGUGUACAUGGACUCCACAACUUAUGAAAUGCUUAAGAAGUGAGAAACAGUAAGCUUUAGAAUUUGUCAGGAACUAGUCUGUGUGCUCUGGGAAUAUAGCUGAGAAGUAUGUAUUGAUCUUGAUUGGAAUGAUUCGCUCACUCAUUUGAUCUAACGAUUGGAGUUGGGUAGCUCAGAGUUGUGUAGUUUGUGUUCGGAUAUAGUGAACCAAGGAAUAUGUAAUAAAAACCCGAGUUUGUCAAA